ACUCCUACGGGAGGCAGCAGUGGGGAAUAUUGCACAAUGGGCGCAAGCCUGAUGCAGCCAUGCCGCGUGUGUGAAGAAGGCCUUCGGGUUGUAAAGCACUUUCAGUCGUGAGGAAGGUAGUGUAGUUAAUAGCUGCAUUAUUUGACGUUAGCGACAGAAGAAGCACCGGCUAACUCCGUGCCAGCAGCCGCGGUAAUACGGAGGGUGCAAGCGUUAAUCGGAAUUACUGGGCGUAAAGCGUGCGCAGGCGGUCUGUUAAGCGAGAUGUGAAAGCCCCGGCUCAAGCCUGGAACUGCAUUUCGAACUGGCAGUACUAGAGUC
RNAcentral lists this ribosomal RNA (321 nucleotides) under uncultured bacterium. RNAcentral describes it as "bacterial SSU rRNA". It matches the Rfam family "Bacterial small subunit ribosomal RNA", at positions 335 to 648 of the family's 1533-position model. The record is from RNAcentral.